AGCUUUGCGCAGUGGCGAUAUCGUAACCAAUGAGGUACAUCCGAGGUGCGAUUAUUGCUAGUUGAAAAAAAAUUAUUUCAUUCAAUUUCAGUUAAUCUUCAGAAUAACAAGGGGUCAAUGAUUAGAAAGGCAGAAUAGUU
Small nuclear RNA from Toxorhynchites rutilus septentrionalis, 140 nucleotides. RefSeq annotates it as U4 spliceosomal RNA. Lineage: Eukaryota; Metazoa; Arthropoda; Insecta; Diptera; Culicidae. The record is from RefSeq and is a predicted model, not a curated record. The transcript has a single exon.